RNAcentral lists this long non-coding RNA (2270 nucleotides) under Macaca fascicularis (crab-eating macaque). RNAcentral's name for it is "lncRNA (ENSMFAG00000054538.1)". Lineage: Eukaryota; Metazoa; Chordata; Mammalia; Primates; Cercopithecidae. The record is from RNAcentral.
UUUAGCAACCUGAGGUGGAGGGAGCAGAGCAGUGCUGGAGAGGGAGGAAAAGUGUAGUUGUGAUUAGGAAAUACCAGGAUUCCACCUCUUGGACAAUACUGUAAAACACAUAUACUCACUGUCUAUUUUCGGUAGGACAUUGUAUCUUGAGCUAUGGCACUCCACAUGUGCAGGAAAGUCAGGAUCAAGCCAGGAUGGUUCAGAAAGGAGCAAGAAACCCAGCACACAGCUGGAGUCAUCCUCAAUAAGUCCAACUGGAUUCCACUCUGAAAUCUCUCUUGAAAUGGAUUCUAUCAUUUGUUCAGAACCUGACUAUAACCUCCCACCUACAUCCAGGAGCCUGCAGACCUACCUUACUGUAAACUAACAAUUCUACACCAAAGCUUCUGCCAGUUUUCUUUCAAAAUUAACCAUCUUAUAGUUAUUCCCUUCUUAACCUCCUGAGACUCUCCACUGGUGAGAGCAAUGGUUCUCAACAUUUAUUUCUCCUGCCCAAAGAAUACUAACACAUUCCUAUCGAUGACUAUGGCUAAGGCAGGGUUCUCUGGCUGAGGUGGGAAACUGACCCUCCGCAAGGGGUGGCCGGGAUCUUGGGAGUGGUAUGUAAUCGGAAAAAUAGAGCUUCCUCCUAUGAGCACUUGAGAUCCUUCACAUUCUGAACCAACCUAUUUGCAGUGUUUGCAAGUUGCAUCGCCAGCCUCUUCCAUGUUGUUCCCAGUUCCCUGGCCAUCCUGGAGGACUGCACUCUUAGACCGGGUGGAAAUUUGCCUCUCUGUGCCUUUGCACAUGCAGUUCCCUCUGCCUGGAACUCCUCCAGCCACUAACUUAUCUUGCUGAGCUCUCUGAAAUGUCAACUUUUAUCGCUGAAGGAAAUGAUUGCCUUUCCACCUAUCCCUUCUCCUUUCCCUUCAGCAGGCCCGAUUCCUCCUCUGGGACCCUUUAGCACAAUGUCUGUCCUGUGGACACAUGCGUCACACUGAGCCACAGUUGUUCAUUCACCUUCCCUGAGACUGUAAGCAUCCUGAGAGCAGGGACCUGUCUCAUUCGCAUUUGCUGAGCUGAUGGCCACCUCAGUGCCCAGCAAGACUCAACACGGUAGAAAUGAGCUGAAAGAGAUGCCAAAACCAAUGUCCUGGGGGCUGCUGGUGACUGGAGCCAUUCUCCUUGCCCUCCUCUUCCACAAAGGUUUGGUCCAGCCUCAUGCUUUGGGGCUGCCCUGCAUCUCUUCACUGCCCUGAGCCUCCUCCUGUGCUCAGUCCUGACAGGGCGCUGUUACUGUGGCAGCAGUGAUUUACAACUGCAUUUAGCUGAAUCUAAUCAGAAGUGUGAAUACUCCCCUUCUAUCUGGCACACAUCAUCGGAGCUCUAAUUAUUCACACAUUUUGGCAAGCAUUCUGGUGUUCCCCUACCAAGCUCCUAAUCCCAGCAGAUCAGUUAAAAUAAAUGAAAGAGAGAAUCAAAAGGCACUUUAAAAAUUCAACUGUUCUCCAAAUGAGUUUGAACAGGCUCCAGUUAACUAGUAGUUGCAGCUGACUGGCAUUUAAAAUAUAAGAACCCUUCUGCCCACCAACCCCCCACCCAGUCCCUUCCUGCACCCUCUGCUUAUAAGAACAUGAUUCUCCCCCAUUUAAGAGAAACACUUGAGACCAGGCCCUGACAUGUUUUCAAUGAUCUGCAUUAAAAACCAGGAAAACAUAGUCACCACCCCAAAACCCAAUCAGUGCCAAAGCAAUUCUGCUUUUUCCACACAGGUAAUGCAAUACCAGCCCAGGACUGACGAUUACUACUUCCAGAAUGCACUAUUAAAGAGCUCCCCAAGUGCAGGAAGCCAUUAAGGCAAAAAUUAAAGCCACGUACCAACCUCAGAAUUCAAGAAGUUUUCAAAUACACACACACACAUGCAAUGACUAUGUGGCUCUGUGGAUUUCAAGAAGGCAAUGCAUGCAGGUUUCCACACUCCUUGAUCUUUCUGUUGGCCUGGACUUCUCUUCCCCAGAGAUCCUCAAAACUUGCUCCCUCAGCACCUUCAGAUCUUUGUUCCACUGUCACCCCUCAGUAACACCUCUUCCCACUUCUUCUCACUCCCGGCAUUCUGUCUACCCCUCUUCCUGCUUUCUUUCUCUCCUUGGCACUGAUCGCCACCUGACACAUGCGUUAUGUGUUUUACUCAUUCACUCACCAUUCCCUUGUACUCACAGCAUGUAGGGAUUCUUGACUAUUUGGACUAUUGCGGCUGGAGCAGUGUCUGAUGUGUAGCAGGUGCUCAGUAA